Brassica napus (rape) is the source of this 1892-nucleotide long non-coding RNA. RefSeq lists it as uncharacterized. The transcript is spliced from 5 exons. The record is from RefSeq and is a predicted model, not a curated record. Lineage: Eukaryota; Viridiplantae; Streptophyta; Magnoliopsida; Brassicales; Brassicaceae.
AAUAUUUCCUAAUAUUCUCCAAUGAUUCGCUUUUUAGUAUUUAUUUUUUAAAAAUGAGAAAAAGGUUAUUUAUUAAUGUACUAAUAUUUAAGUAGUUAGGUAAUUUGCAUGCGACUAAAAGUAGUUUUACGUAUUAAUCAAUAAAAAUAACAUUUUGUUAUUUCAAGUCUCGCAAUUACAUUAAUGAGCCUAAAUCCGUGUUGUAUAAUUGAUAACCAUAGAAUAGUUUUGAAUGUGGAUACAGUCGAGAGAAAAAUACUCAUGCAAAAUUUAAAUUUGGUAUCGCUAGUAAUGAUCCUAAAGCAUUGGCAUGAUUGCUUAUUUUUGUGCACAUCAACUUUCUUUUACUUUUUCAGACGAAAUUAUAGUAUUAUACUAAUAUGAGAUCUAAAUCUUAAUUAAUACUUAUAAAAUAAAUAUAUCGACAUAUAAAAGACGUCAAGGCAAAAACAAGAGAAGCAAGAAAGCAUGAAGGGCUUUGCUUCUUACACAUGUGUCCCGACAAAUAGUCACAGGUGCUGUGUCAGCUCUGUUCAACCAACACUUCAUUUUUAAAUAUAUUGUUAGGAUUUUAACCUUAACCUUGUGCUAUAGAAUUAGGAAUAAACUUGAUACCAAACUUGUCUUAGCUUUUAUUCACUACAAAGGUUUCUCAAGAACAAAAUAUAAAGAUCACAAGCCUAAGCAAUAAACGCUCUUCCUAAUUGCUAAUCUCUCUUGAUCUCUCUUUAUCUAACUUAUUGCUCUCUUCUCUCUUCUUAAACGGAUGAUCUUUGUUGUUGUUGAAGCUUUCCUUAUAUAGUCACGACCUAGACCGAAUCCUCUUUGUAAAAGGAUUAUUUCCAUUCUCUUAAAUUGGUAAAGCACGAGACCGUCAUUAACGUAAUCAGAAACUUGCCGCCAAAGUAAUCUUUUGGUAUUGGGCUUAAAGUAGAAUUUGGCCCAUAUCAUUACAAUCUCCACCUUGGGCCCAAAUCCAUACUUCUCCUUUUGCGUCUUCUUCGUUGAGCAACAAUACCAACUCUUCUCUGUAGCUUUGACGAUCAUAGUGAUUCUUACCCAACCACUACCUCCACUUUUCUCCGCUCUGGUUCCUUUGGCAAACAAAGCUAGCGAUUUCAGGAGCUUCACCAAGCUUUCCCUCCGUUUCCGCGUGACUGGUCCGUCUUCUCUUCUCCACUCCAGCCGGUGAAUUCAUCCCCCUUGUGAAUCUUGCCGAUAAAUUCUCUCGCCAAUGCUCUGAUUUGUUCACCGCUUCCUCUUCUCAGGCGCUAGCUUGCAACGCCUCAACCGUAGAUGUGCAUGCUCACCCUCGUAUGGCUUCCUGGUCAUGUCCUUUUUGUUUUCUUUAGAAUCAGACUCUUCAGUUUGCACAGCUCACUUGAUGCAGACGUCUCUCCACCAUGUAGCUUCCUUUGGUUUGAUGUAGACGGUUCCUUGCUACGACCAUGUAUUUUUCAGACCUUGUAUAGACUGUGUCGUCUAUAACCACCAUUCCUCAGAGCUUCUUGGAAAAGACUUUCAGUCUCCUCAGCGGUUUAAGACGAUCACUUCGCUUGUGCUUGUUCUGCGAUCUUGUAGUCCUGUAACCUGAGAUACUCGUCUCCCUUCACCAUUACUGGUGUUCAAGACGUUCUCUCAUCAACCUUCCCCUUCCUUGUAUGGCAACCCAGUUGGGAUUCCUUUCUAGCCUGAGAUACUCGUCUCCAUUCACCACUCUUGAUGUUUAAGACGUUCUCUCAUGUAGCACUUCAACAACCUUUCCUACCCUUCAUCCGAUAUAAUUGAGACCUAUUAGCAAUUUUCCCUUUGUUUCAGCUGCUCCACCUUGAGCUAAAACAUCCACCUCGUCUUAUCCGUCACAAGUAAAUUUUCUUGCUCCUUACUAGCUC